GACGAACCGAGCGAACGUUGUUCGGAAUCACUGGGCUUAAAGGGCGCGUAGGCGGGUGCUCAAGUCUGUGGUGAAAUCCUCCAGCUUAACUGGAGAACUGCCAUGGAUACUGGGUGUCUCGAGGAACGUAGGGGUAUGCGGAACGAUUGGUGGAGCGGUGAAAUGCGUUGAUAUCAACCGGAACUCCGGUGGCGAAGGCGGCAUACUGGACGUUAUCUGACGCUGAGGCGCGAAAGCCAGGGGAGCAAACGGG
RNAcentral lists this ribosomal RNA (253 nucleotides) under uncultured bacterium. RNAcentral describes it as "partial 16S ribosomal RNA". It matches the Rfam family "Bacterial small subunit ribosomal RNA", at positions 524 to 776 of the family's 1533-position model. The record is from RNAcentral.